GUCUGUUUGUAGGUAUAAGCAGUCUAGCCUGCCCACUGAUAUUUAUUAAAGGGCCGCGGUAUUCUGACCGUGCAAAGGUAGCAUAAUCGUUAGUUUCUUAAUUGGGAUCUUGUAUGAAUGGUUGGACAAGAGAAAAUCUGUCUUUAUAAUUGUUAUUGAACUUAACUUUUGAGUGAAAAGGCUCAAAUAAAUUAGAGGGACGAUAAGACCCUAUAAAGCUUAAUAUUAGGAAGCAUUAAGCCCAAUUUUAAGAUUAUAAAGGUUUAUUGUGUACUUUUUAUUAUAUUGGGGCGAUAGAAGUAAAAUGAUUAGUAACUGCUUCAUUUUUAGACAAAGAUAAGUGAAUAAAGAAGAGUAAAGGAUCCUUUAUAAAGAUUAUAAGAGCAAGUUACUUUAGGGAUAACAGCGUUAUUUUUUUUGAGAGUUCUUAUCGAAAAAAAAGUUUGCGACCUCGAUGUUGAAUUAAAAUUUCUUUACAAUUGCAGCAGUUGUAAGAGAAGGUCUGUUCGACCUUUAAAUUUUUACAUGAUUUGAGUUCAGACCGGCGUGAG
Molecule: ribosomal RNA, 551 nt
Filed under: Pachygrapsus crassipes
Lineage: Eukaryota; Metazoa; Arthropoda; Malacostraca; Decapoda; Grapsidae
Description: partial 16S ribosomal RNA
Rfam family: Bacterial large subunit ribosomal RNA
Source: RNAcentral